RNAcentral lists this long non-coding RNA (250 nucleotides) under Sorghum bicolor (sorghum). Its description in RNAcentral is "long non-coding RNA (SBIC_LNC011121)". Lineage: Eukaryota; Viridiplantae; Streptophyta; Magnoliopsida; Poales; Poaceae. The record is from RNAcentral.
CAUCAAAUUGGGGUGGAGGUCUGGAUCCUGAAGCUCCAUAUGGAUCAGUGGAGUACCUGCCCGUAUGAAAAGGCGGGUUUGUCCACUGGUGAUCUUGGCUCUCCGGCCAUGUCUCCUCUAUUGGCUCUUGUGGUUGCGCAUGUCGAACCCAUGGGUCUUGAAGGACUCGGGGGUUGUAGUCGCAAUAAUGCAGGUGUGCUGCUUCUUCUGGUCUGGGAUCAGCUCCAUACCAGGUGCGUUCUCGGUGGGU